AAGUCGUAACAAGGUUUCCGUAGGUGAACCUGCGGAAGGAUCAUUAACACGUAUCCAACGUUAAACCCCCUCCGUGAACCUUCAAACGCAGUGCCUUGGCGCUAAGAGGGCUUAAUCAACCCAACGCGGGUGUAGCCAAUUAACAAGAUAAUGCACGCUUGACCAAGUCGGUUAUUUUUCCCCAAGCAAUCAGUGAGUGAAAGUGUCAUUGGUUGUGUAAGGAUUUCGCUUGACGAUCACUAGAGGCCGCUCACCGGCCGGUGGAUUAACUUACAGAUCCUUCAAUGGAUUCCUCCCCGACCCCAAUUUUUACUACCGCUCCGCGCUUAACAGCGUGGGGCACUUAAGAAAAACGUACUAAACAACUGUUAACAAUGGAUAUCUUGGUUCUC
RNAcentral lists this unclassified non-coding RNA (392 nucleotides) under fungal sp. Its description in RNAcentral is "partial internal transcribed spacer region". The stretch from base 1 to 46 matches the Rfam family "Eukaryotic small subunit ribosomal RNA", at positions 1786 to 1831 of the family's 1831-position model. The record is from RNAcentral. Lineage: Eukaryota; Fungi.